UAGUUAAUUGAACAUUUUUUCUGUAUAUUCAAGGAAAAUAUCAAGAGACUGAGUGGACCCAAAAAUACAGAGUCUGUUAGGAUUGCUUUUAGUCCUGGCUAGCCAAGCAACCCUGCUGCAUCUCUCCCAGUUAGGGAAGGAGGGGAAGUGAAGCCCUGAAGCAUCAUUUGUGUGUUUAAAUGAGAACGCCUUGGUAUUUCUCCCCUUCCCUGUUGUGGUCUCUGUUUCAGUGGUCGGACUCAGAAGCAGGUUCUCGACUAUGUUAAAGAAGGAGGACAUAAGAAGGUGCAGUUUGAAAGGAAGCACAGCAAGAUUCAUUCUAUCCGGAGCCUUGCUUCACAGCCUACAGAACUGAAUUCGGAAGUGCUGGAGCAGUCUCAGCAGAGCGCCAGCCUUACAUUUGGAGAAGGUGCCGAAUCUCCAGGGGGCCAGAGCUGCCGGCAAGGAAAGGAACCGAAGGUUUCCGCCGGGGAGCCGGGGUCGCACCCGAGCCCUGCGCCGAGGAGAAGCCCCGCGGGUAACAAGCAGGCGGACGGAGCCGCCUCGGCGCCCACGGAGGAAGAGGAGGA
This 569-nucleotide small RNA is filed under the name Pan troglodytes (chimpanzee). RNAcentral's name for it is "retained intron". The record is from RNAcentral. Lineage: Eukaryota; Metazoa; Chordata; Mammalia; Primates; Hominidae.